GGAAUAUUGGACAAUGGGGGCAACCCUGAUCCAGCAAUGCCGCGUGUGUGAAGAAGGCCUGCGGGUUGUAAAGCACUUUCAGUUGGGAGGAAGGCUACGUAGUUAAUAGCUGCGUAGAUUGACGUUACCGACAGAAGAAGCACCGGCUAACUCUGUUCCAGCAGCCGCGGUAAUACAGAGGGUGCGAGCGUUAAUCGGAAUUACUGGGCGUAAAGGGUGCGUAGGUGGCCAUUUAAGUCAGAUGUGAAAGCCCCGGGCUUAACCUGGGAACUGCAUUUGAAACUGGAAGGCUAGAGUUUGGAAGAGGGAAGUGGAAUUUCCGGUGUAGCGGUGAAAUGCGUAGAUAUCGGAAGGAACACCAGUGGCGAAGGCGACUUCCUGGUCCGACACUGACACUGAGGCACGAAAGCGUGGGGAGCAAAC
RNAcentral lists this ribosomal RNA (423 nucleotides) under uncultured bacterium. RNAcentral's name for it is "bacterial SSU rRNA". It matches the Rfam family "Bacterial small subunit ribosomal RNA", at positions 358 to 773 of the family's 1533-position model. The record is from RNAcentral.